CCUACGAGAGGCAGCAGUGGGGAAUAUUGGACAAUGGGGGGAACCCUGAUCCAGCGACGCCGCGUGAGUGAAGAAGUAUUUCGGUAUGUAAAGCUCUAUCAGCAGGGAAGAAAGAAAUGACGGUACCUGACUACGAAGCCCCGGCUAACUACGUGCCAGCAGCCACGGUAAUACGUAGGGGGCAAGCGUUAUCCGGAUUUACUGGGUGUAAAGGGAGCGUAGACGGCGAUGCAAGUCUGAAGUGAAAGGCGGGGGGCGAACCCCAGAACUGCUUGGGAAACGGGAUGGCUGGAGUGCAGGAGAGGGAAGUGGAAUGCCUAGUGUAGCGGUGAAAUGCGUAGAUAUUAGGAGGAACACCAGUGGCGAAGGCGGCUUACUGGACUGUAACUGACGUUGAGGCUCGAAAGCGUGGGGAGCAAACAGGAUUAGAUACCCGAGUAGUC
This 443-nucleotide ribosomal RNA is filed under the name uncultured bacterium. Its description in RNAcentral is "partial 16S ribosomal RNA". It matches the Rfam family "Bacterial small subunit ribosomal RNA", at positions 338 to 795 of the family's 1533-position model. The record is from RNAcentral.